AGUUCAUCUAUUGUGAUUUUGUCUAAAAUCUUUCGAUUGUCCCCUUCUUCCAGUGUCGGACUGGAUAAGGGAUCGAAUUUGUGUUUGUUUGUUUGUUUGUUUUUCGACGUAGUUUUCCACCGCCGCUUUGAAAGUACCAAAUAUGACCCCCUUCGUGGGAAUUAUGUAUCUUGCCAAGGGUAUUUGCAAAUGCAUUUGCUUUAUCCGCAUCGUUUGUUGUAAGUUGCCCAUUUUCUUUGAGUACAGGCUUUUCGGAUGUUUCUUUUGCUUUGCCGGUGCUAGUUAGCCUUUUAAACAUGCCCCAUUUUUCUUUCGUUUAGUAUGGAGGUAGCGGUUUCCAAACCUUUUUGUUUUUCUUUUUUGAUGGCUUCUUUGACCCGUUUUGUCAUUUAGUUAUACUCAGUACAUGAAUUUAUAAGAAGGACCUUCUUUCUUUUGAACAAGACGUCUUAAUUUUCUUUUCUCGUACUAUUAUUUUUGGGCAUGCGGUUUCUAAUGCAUCUACUAGUGUUUCGGUCACAUUCUCACAAGCUUCGUCUAUUCCAUUGGUGGUUGGUGUGACUGCGUUGCUAAUUAGAUUGUUAGUAAUUAGAUGGUUAAACAAGGUUUAUUUUUCUUGUGUUCCGUCGUAAGACAGUUGGUGCUCUUGCUAUUCGGUUAUUUCGUAUAAUUUUUACGUGUAAAGGUAGAUGGUCGCUUCCGACGUCUUUACCAGCAUAAUAGUCCGCUAUUUUCGAGUAAAGCUGAGGCGUGAAAAAAAAAAAAAAGCCAUAUCCAGAGUAUCAGUAUUGCCAUUAGUGGCCAUAUGUGUUGUUUCGCCCUCAUCGUUAUAUAGACAGAGUCAUAAAAACGAUUUUUUCUUAAAAUAUAGUUUUUGUACUUAUAUUUUAACAUCAAGUGGACUUCAGUUGUAUCAAAAAUGUACUGUUUAUAUUUUGACAGCGAACAUUUGUGAGCAGUUUUAGCCAAAACCUCUCACCCAAAAUGGGCCAAAUCUGUUCUAAUUUGCAUAACAAUAAGUUGCCCGUCGUGGUGCGAGCUGAAUACUCACUCUGCAGUUGGGCACAGCUGAGGGAAGACGCAACAUUACGUGUGGUGAAUUCACAAGUUUAAGCUUUUAUAAGACGUAGAAGCAAGUUUAUGGUAUGUAAGGUUUGAGCCCUUCAUAUGUUGUGUUUGUUGUGAUUGUGUUCGAUGUGUGUCGUGAAUGUUCGUUUGUGUACGUGGAGGUCACGGGUUUGAAGACCGCGCCCCAUACAUUUUGAUUUGCACCUGAAAGUCAGACGGAGUUGCAGGCUGGAAUAGUUGAAAUAGUUGUUCUAGUGCUCUUGCAGGUGAAUGUAACUAUAUCAAAAUAUUUGUAUGAUAAUAAAGCCAUUUCAACCCAGAGCUAUCGGCCUGUUACAGAUUACACUUGGGCAAUCUAUUUAUGCUUAAAGAUUGACAUGCUUUCAAAAAUCUUUUUGUAAGAAGCCCACGGAGAAACUGUGCAACAUGGGCCUGCAAACAUCAAGGUCUUUGGUUGACAUAUAUCAUGCUCAAUUUCAUGUAUCUCUUAUAUCAA
Molecule: long non-coding RNA, 1564 nt
Organism: Lingula anatina
Lineage: Eukaryota; Metazoa; Brachiopoda; Lingulata; Lingulida; Lingulidae
Source: RefSeq, a predicted model, not a curated record